GAUGAAGAACGCAGUGAAAUGCGAUAAGUAAUGCGAAUUGCAGAAUUCAGUGAAUCAUCGAAUCUUUGAACGCACAUUGCGCACGCUAGUAUUCUGGCGGGCAUGCCUGUCUGAGCGUCAUUUCAACCCUCGCCCCCGGCUUUUGCUGGGAGCGGUGUUGGGGAUCGGCCGCCCGUCACUGGGAGGCCGGCCCCGAAAUAGAGUGGCGACCACGCCGUGUGCUCCUCUGCGUAGUAGUAAAUCACCUCGCAGGCGGACAGCGGUGCGGCCUGCCGUAAAACCCCCAACUCUUUCUGGUUGACCUCAGAUCAGGUAGGAAUACCCGCUGAACUUAAGCAUAUCAAUAAGCGGAGGA
Molecule: unclassified non-coding RNA, 355 nt
Filed under: soil metagenome
Description: partial contains 5.8S ribosomal RNA, internal transcribed spacer 2, and large subunit ribosomal RNA
Rfam family: 5.8S ribosomal RNA (bases 1-120)
Source: RNAcentral